GAAAGCGUGGGGAGCGAACAGGAUUAGAUACCCUGGUAGUCCACGCCGUAAACGGUGGGUACUAGGUGUGGGUUUCCUUCCUUGGGAUCCGUGCCGUAGCUAACGCAUUAAGUACCCCGCCUGGGGAGUACGGCCGCAAGGCUAAAACUCAAAGGAAUUGACGGGGGCCCGCACAAGCGGCGGAGCAUGUGGAUUAAUUCGAUGCAACGCGAAGAACCUUACCUGGGUUUGACAUGCACAGGACGCCAGUAGAGAUAUUGGUUCCCUUGUGGCCUGUGUGCAGGUGGUGCAUGGCUGUCGUCAGCUCGUGUCGUGAGAUGUUGGGUUAAGUCCCGCAACGAGCGCAACCCUUGUCUCAUGUUGCCAGCACGUUAUGGUGGGGACUCGUGAGAGACUGCCGGGGUCAACUCGGAGGAAGGUGGGGAUGACGUCAAGUCAUCAUGCCCCUUAUGUCCAGGGCUUCACACAUGCUACAAUGGCCGGUACAAAGGGCUGCGAUGCCGUGAGGUGGAGCGAAUCCUUUCAAAGCCGGUCUCAGUUCGGAUCGGGGUCUGCAACUCGACCCCGUGAAGUCGGAGUCGCUAGUAAUCGCAGAUCAGCAACGCUGCGGUGAAUACGUUCCCGGGCCUUGUACACACCGCCCGUCACGUCAUGAAAGUCGGUAACACCCGAAGCCGGUGGCCUAACCCUUGUGGAGGGAGCCGUCGAAGGUGGGAUCGGCGAUUGGGACGAAGUCGUAACAAGGUAGCCGUACCGGAAGGUGCGGCUGGAUCACCUCCUUUCUAAGGAGCACCACGAAAAGGCCAAUCAAACUCCGUGAUAGCUGGUUCUCCCCGAAAUGCAUUUAGGUGCAGCGUCACAUGUUUCUUGUUGGAGGUAGAGCUACUGGAUGGCCGAUGGGCCCCACAGGGUUACUGACGUCAGCCAAACUCCGAAUGCCGACAAGUCCAAGAGUGUGGCAGUGAGACGGCGGGGGAUAAGCUCCGUGCGUCGAGAGGGAAACAGCCCAGAUCGCCGGCUAAGGCCCCUAAGCGUGUGCUAAGUGGAAAAGGAUGUGCAGUCGCGAAGACAACCAGGAGGUUGGCUUAGAAGCAGCCACCCUUGAAAGAGUGCGUAAUAGCUCACUGGUCAAGUGAUUGUGCGCCGAUAAUGUAGCGGGGCUCAAGCACACCGCCGAAGCCGCGGCAGCCAUUUAUGGCUGGGUAGGGGAGCGUCCUGCAUCCGGUGAAGCAGCAGAGUGAUCUAGCUGUGGAGGGUGUGGGAGUGAGAAUGCAGGCAUGAGUAGCGAAUAGGCAAGUGAGAACCUUGCCCGCCGAAAGACCAAGGGUUCCUGGGCCAGGCCAGUCCUCCCAGGGUGAGUCGGGACCUAAGGCGAGGCCGACAGGCGUAGUCGAUGGACAACGGGUUGAUAUUCCCGUACCCGUGUAUGUGCGUCCCUGAUGAAUCCAUUGUGCUAACCAUCCAAAACCACCGUGACCAAUCCCUUCGGGGUGCGGCGUUGGUGGGGCUGCGUGGGACCCCGGUGGGUAGUAGUCAAGCGAUGGGGUGACGCAGGAAGGUAGCCGUACCAGUCAGUGGUUGUACUGGGGUAAGCCGGUAGGGCGAAACGUAGGCAAAUCCGCGUUUCAUACAGCCUGAGAGGUGAUGCAUAGCCGUUUGAGGCGAAUUCGGUGAUCCUAUGCUGCCAAGAAAAGCCUCUAGCGAGGACAUACACGGCCCGUACCCCAAACCAACACAGGUGGUCAGGUAGAGAAUACUAAGGCGUACGAGUGAACUAUGGUUAAGGAACUCGGCAAAAUGCCCCCGUAACUUCGGGAGAAGGGGGACCCCCAUAUCGUCAAGGCUCUUGCGGCCGGCAGCGGGAGGGGGUGGCACAAACCAGUGAGAAGCGACUGUUUACUAAAAACACAGGUCCGUGCGAAGUCGCAAGACGAUGUAUACGGACUGACGCCUGCCCGGUGCUGGAAGGUUAAGAGGACCUGUUAACCUUCGGGGUGAAGCAGAGAAUUUAAGCCCCAGUAAACGGCGGUGGUAACUAUAACCAUCCUAAGGUAGCGAAAUUCCUUGUCGGGUAAGUUCCGACCUGCACGAAUGGCGUAACGACUUCUCAACUGUCUCAACCAUAGACUCGGCGAAAUUGCACUACGAGUAAAGAUGCUCGUUACGCGCGGCAGGACGAAAAGACCCCGGGACCUUCACUACAACUUGGUAUUGGUGCUCGAUACGGUUUGUGUAGGAUAGGUGGGAGACUGUGAAGCUCACACGCCAGUGUGGGUGGAGUCGUUGUUGAAAUACCACUCUGAUCGUAUUGGGCCUCUAACCUCGGACCGUAUAUCCGGUUCAGGGACAGUGCCUGGUGGGUAGUUUAACUGGGGCGGUUGCCUCCCAAAAUGUAACGGAGGCGCCCAAAGGUUCCCUCAACCUGGACGGCAAUCAGGUGUUGAGUGUAAGUGCACAAGGGAGCUUGACUGCGAGACGUACAUGUCGAGCAGGGACGAAAGUCGGGACUAGUGAUCCGGCACCUCUGAGUGGAAGGGGUGUCGCUCAACGGAUAAAAGGUACCCCGGGGAUAACAGGCUGAUCUUCCCCAAGAGUCCAUAUCGACGAUGGUUUGGCACCUCGAUGUCGGCUCGUCGCAUCCUGGGGCUGGAGCAGGUCCCAAGGGUUGGGCUGUUCGCCCAUUAAAGCGGCACGCGAGCUGGGUUUAGAACGUCGUGAGACAGUUCGGUCUCUAUCCGCCGCGCGCGUCAGAAGCUUGAGGAAAUCUGUCCCUAGUACGAGAGGACCGGGACGGACGAACCUCUGGUAUACCAGUUGUUCCACCAGGAGCACCGCUGGAUAGCCACGUUCGGACAGGAUAACCGCUGAAAGCAUCUAAGCGGGAAACCCCCUCCAAGACCAGGCUUCUCACCCUUUUAGAGGGAUAAGGCCCCCCGCAGACCACGGGAUUGAUAGACCAGACCUGGAAGCCCAGCAAUGGGUGCAGGGAACUGGCACUAACCGGCCGAAAACUUACAACA
RNAcentral lists this ribosomal RNA (3020 nucleotides) under Mycolicibacterium senegalense. RNAcentral describes it as "23S ribosomal RNA". The stretch from base 629 to 3020 matches the Rfam family "Bacterial large subunit ribosomal RNA". Lineage: Bacteria; Bacillati; Actinomycetota; Actinomycetes; Mycobacteriales; Mycobacteriaceae. The record is from RNAcentral.